UACGAAGGGGGCUAGCGUUGUUCGGAAUUACUGGGCGUAAAGCGUGCGCAGGCGGCUUCUCAAGUCAGGGGUGAAAGCCCUGAGCUCAACUCUGGAAUUGCCUUUGAGACUGAGUGGCUUGAGUACGAGAGAGGUGAGUGGAAUUCCCAGUGUAGAGGUGAAAUUCGUAGAUAUUGGGAAGAACACCGGUGGCGAAGGCGGCUCACUGGCUCGUAACUGACGCUCAUGCACGACAGCGUGGGGAUCAAACAGG
This 253-nucleotide ribosomal RNA is filed under the name uncultured bacterium. RNAcentral describes it as "partial 16S ribosomal RNA". It matches the Rfam family "Bacterial small subunit ribosomal RNA", at positions 524 to 776 of the family's 1533-position model. The record is from RNAcentral.